Molecule: long non-coding RNA, 314 nt
Filed under: Elaeis guineensis (African oil palm)
Lineage: Eukaryota; Viridiplantae; Streptophyta; Magnoliopsida; Arecales; Arecaceae
Description: long non-coding RNA (EGUI_LNC072485)
Source: RNAcentral
GUCAGUAAAUCCGUAUAAUCAAAUAGCUUUCUUGCAAGCAUCAAAUGUUGCAAUACAUUUUGUCUUGCAAUUGAAUUUGGCUAUAUCGCUCUGCUUGGAACCAUUCUAGCAGAUUGCUCUAUUAUUUAGGAUAAAGAUGUAUUCUGACAUGUUCUUGCUAUUAUUAUAUCUAACUAAAAAUUAGAGUCAUACUUUACAAGCUUUAAGUCAGAUUCUCCAUAACUGAGUUACCUGUCCUUAGUAUUUCUUAAAUAUCUAAGGAUGUCCUACCAGUGAUUUUAACUCGGAUCUUGCAGGUAUCCACUCACUAUCCU